RNAcentral lists this ribosomal RNA (497 nucleotides) under uncultured bacterium. RNAcentral's name for it is "partial 16S ribosomal RNA". It matches the Rfam family "Bacterial small subunit ribosomal RNA", at positions 28 to 507 of the family's 1533-position model. The record is from RNAcentral.
GAUGAACGCUGGCGGCGUGCCUAAUACAUGCAAGUCGAGCGGACAGACGAGGAGCUUGCUCCUCUGACGUUAGCGGCGGACGGGUGAUUAACACGUGGCUACCCUACCUGUAAUACUUGCAUAACUUCGGGACACCGGAGCUAUUACCAGCUCAUAUAUUAAGGCGCAUGGUUCAAUAGUUAAAGACGGUUUUGCUGUCCCUUAUCCAUUCAUCCGCGCCGCAUUGGCUAGUUGUUCCGGUAACGGGUUACCAAGGCAACGAUGCGUAGCCGACCUGAGAGGGUGAGCGGCCACACUGGAACUGAGACACGCUCCACACGCCUACGGGAGGCACCAGUAGGGAAUCUGCCGCAAUGGGCGAAAGCCUGACGGAGCUGCGCGGCGUGAGUGAUGAAGGUCUUCGGGUCGUAAAACUCUGCUAUCAGGGAAGAAAAAAUGUUCAAGUGACAAGGCGCGUCUUGAAGGUAACUAAUCAAAGAGCCACGGCUAACUUCGUG